Molecule: unclassified non-coding RNA, 334 nt
Organism: Cavia porcellus (domestic guinea pig)
Lineage: Eukaryota; Metazoa; Chordata; Mammalia; Rodentia; Caviidae
Gene: 7SK
Rfam family: 7SK RNA
About the family: 7SK was discovered as an abundant small nuclear RNA in the mid-70s but a possible function has only recently been suggested. Two independent studies have found that 7SK RNA binds the CDK9/cyclin T complex (known as elongation factor P-TEFb).
Source: Ensembl
GGAUGUGAGGGCCACCUGGCUGUGACAUCUGUCACCCCAUUGAUCACCAGGGUUGAUUUGGCUGAUCUGGCUGGCUAGGUGGGUGUCCCCUUCCUCCCCUAAAGAUCCAUGUGCGUCCCUCCCAAAGCUGCGUGCUCCAUAGAAGAGGACGACCACCCCCAAUAGAGGAGGACCGUUCCUGGUUCAAGGGUGUACAAGUAGCUGCGCUCCCCUGCUAGAACCUCCAAACAAUCUCUCAAAAUAGCUGCAAAUACUUUCAGACUUAGUAAAAAUCAAACGAAUUAGGACAGAGAAUAACCAAUAAAAACAAAACAAUGAAUGAAAUAAAGCAUUU